UUUCCGUAGGUGAACCUGCGGAAGGAUCAUUAAUGAGUUGUCAUGGGGUUCGAUGCUGGCAGCCAAUUUUUGGAUGCAUGUGCUUGCCCUAACAAUCAUCUUCCAAACACCUGUGCACAUUUUUGAGGGAGUCUUGAGUUGGGUGCCGCUCUUGGGUGAUUUUCUCACAUUCCCUUAAAUCAUUAUACGCUAUUAACAAUGUUGAACGUGCUCUGUGCCGCAAGGCUAUUAAUAUAAUACAACUUUUAACAACGGAUCUCUUGGCUCUC
Molecule: unclassified non-coding RNA, 269 nt
Filed under: plant metagenome
Description: partial contains small subunit ribosomal RNA, internal transcribed spacer 1, and 5.8S ribosomal RNA
Source: RNAcentral